Mesocricetus auratus (golden hamster) is the source of this 390-nucleotide long non-coding RNA. RefSeq lists it as uncharacterized. The record is from RefSeq and is a predicted model, not a curated record. The transcript is spliced from 3 exons. NCBI's taxonomy places the organism in Eukaryota, Metazoa, Chordata, Mammalia, Rodentia, Cricetidae.
CUGGUCUGCCCACAUGUGAGCAAACAGCCUUAUGCCUCUGCUGUCACAGCUGAAGUCACUCUAGGCCUCUCCUGCCAGGAUGGACUGCAUCCUCUCAAACUGCCCCAGGAGUCUAUUGCAUGAAGCUAUGAAGGUAAAUCCUGGCUGCAAUGGAAACCCAAGAACAUUGGAGAUACUGGAUACAGGAGACAUCUGCCAAGUCCUACAGUCAAGAAAUUGCCUGAGUCUUGGAAGAGACCUUGCCCAUAUUCUUUUGAACACUUUGGAAUUGUGAAGACUCUUGGUUUUCAGAAGAUGAACUAAAUUUUGCUUUACAAGAUGAACAUUAGACUUUAGGGAUCAGUGGGGAUGUUAUGAAGUACAAGUGAUGUUUUGUGUGUCAAGUUGGAG